AAUCAACGCUGGCGGCGUGCCUCAGACAUGCAAGUCGAACGCGAAAGUUUCCUUCGGGGAACAAGUAGAGUGGCGCACGGGUGGGUAACACGUAGGUAAUCUACCUUUGGAUGGGGAAUAACAACCGGAAACGGUUGCUAAUACCGCAUAAUGCAGCGGCACCUAAUGGUGACAGUUGUUAAAGCGGGGGAGUCGAAAGAACCUCGCGUCUGAAGAGGAGCCUGCGGCGGAUUAG
Molecule: ribosomal RNA, 235 nt
Filed under: uncultured bacterium
Lineage: Bacteria
Description: partial 16S ribosomal RNA
Rfam family: Bacterial small subunit ribosomal RNA
Source: RNAcentral